GUGGGGAAUCUUAGACAAUGGGGGCAACCCUGAUCUAGCCAUGCCGCGUGAGUGAUGAAGGCCUUAGGGUCGUAAAGCUCUUUCGCUGGGGAAGAUAAUGACGGUACCCAGUAAAGAAACCCCGGCUAACUCCGUGCCAGCAGCCGCGGUAAUACGGAGGGGGUUAGCGUUGUUCGGAAUUACUGGGCGUAAAGCGCGCGUAGGCGGAUUGGAAAGUUGGGGGUGAAAUCCCGGGGCUCAACCCUGGAAUGGCCUUCAAAACUACCAGUCUUGAGGUCGAGAGAGGUGAGUGGAAUUCCGGGUGUAGAGGGGAAAUUCGUAGAUAUUCGGAGGAACACCAGGGGCGAAGGCGGCUCACUGGCUCGAUACUGACGCUGAGGCGCGACAGCGUGGGGAGCAAACAGGAUUAGAAACCCCAGUAGUCC
RNAcentral lists this ribosomal RNA (425 nucleotides) under uncultured bacterium. Its description in RNAcentral is "bacterial SSU rRNA". It matches the Rfam family "Bacterial small subunit ribosomal RNA", at positions 354 to 796 of the family's 1533-position model. The record is from RNAcentral.